Molecule: long non-coding RNA, 252 nt
Filed under: Mytilus galloprovincialis (Mediterranean mussel)
Lineage: Eukaryota; Metazoa; Mollusca; Bivalvia; Mytilida; Mytilidae
Source: RNAcentral
AUUUUGUAACCGGAAGUGGUCAAUACCUCCCUUAUUUUACAUAUAAGUCCAUACAAACCAUAUAUAUUCGUAAUCAGGAUAAAAUUAUCUUUCAAGUGAUACCGGAAGUAAAAAUUUUCAAACCGGAAGUUGCUGUAUUUUUACCUUAUUUGAAGUAAAAAUGCAUAGAAACCAUAUAUUUUUGGGAUCAGGUUAAGAUUAAUCAUCUUUUAACCUCUUUAUUACCUUUUUAAAUAUUUUUUUCUUUUUUUC